This 373-nucleotide ribosomal RNA is filed under the name uncultured bacterium. RNAcentral's name for it is "partial 16S ribosomal RNA". It matches the Rfam family "Bacterial small subunit ribosomal RNA", at positions 338 to 708 of the family's 1533-position model. The record is from RNAcentral.
CCUACGGGUGGCAGCAGUGAGGAAUAUUGGUCAAUGGCCGGAAGGCUGAACGAGCCAAGUCGCGUGAGGGAAUAAGGCCCUAUGGGUCGUAAACCUCUGUUGUCAGGGAGCAAAGGCGUCCACGUGUGGACGAGAGGAGAGUACCUGAAGAAUAAGCAUCGGCUAACUCCGUGCCAGCAGCGGCGGUAAUACGGAGGGUGCGGGCUUUAUCGGGAUUUAUCGGGUUUAGAGGGUGCAGAGGUGGGGUGUCAAGGCAGGGGUAAAAGUUCGGGGGUCAACCCCGUCGUGCCGUUGAAACUGACGGACUUGAGUGAGUGAGGAGUAAGCGGAAUGCGUGGUGUAGCGGUGAAAUGCAUAGAUAUCGCGCAGAACG